This 350-nucleotide ribosomal RNA is filed under the name uncultured rumen bacterium. Its description in RNAcentral is "partial 16S ribosomal RNA". The record is from RNAcentral.
AUUCCCCACUGCUGCCUCCCGUAGGAGUAUGGACCGUGUCUCAGUUCCAUUGUGGGGGACCUUCCUCUCAGAACCCCUACUGAUCGUAGCCUCGGUGGGCCGUUACCCCGCCGACUAGCUAAUCANACGCGAGCCAAUCCGUCACCUCCGUGAAUUUCAACCAGAGGAGAUGCCUCCUCUGAUGUUAUGGGGGAAUAAUCCAACGUUUCCAUCGGUAAUACCCCGGUGACGGGCAUGUCGCUCACGCGUUACGCACCCUUUCGCCGGUCGCCGCCAGUUGUAUUGCUACAACCGCGCUGCCCCUCGACUUGCAUGUGUUAAGCCUGCCGCCAGCGUUCAUCCUGAGCCAA